GGUUGUUAUCCUUUAUGGACCAGCCCUCUGGGGAGCCACAGGGAACAGCUUGGAACAACAGGGAAUGCAUUUGGAAGUUGCCAAACUUUACUUACUGCCUCGCAGGGCUUCGGGAUUUGGAUUAUUGGCUCUCACCUGCGUGGGCAUCUGGAAGAUUUUGGAUUAUCUGUUUUUUAACAGAGGAGAAAACUCGAGGGAGCUCCAGCCUGAGAAAUCCCAGCGAGUUCUGGGGAUUAACACGUGGCCUUCCAGGCGGGGAUGUUGGAGGCAAAAUCCUUGGGAAAUGCCAGAGCUCUGCUAACAGCACUCCUGAAGAUGAAUGGCCUUCCUAAUCCUUAUUUUAUCUGGGAAGAGUUGAAGCGUAGUGAAUUGAAGGUCUGAAGAUCCCUCUCUGUGCACUCCCAGGCCUUGCUUAGCAUUCUAUGGGCAGAUUCCUGAAGAUUGGAUGAGCUGAUCCCCCCUUGCAGUGGCAGCUGUGGGAUGUGCAAUCUCCAGGGGUGCAGCCAGGGCCCCUCAGGAGAGCCUGGAGAUGGUGCCAGUGACUUCUCUGGAGCUCUGGAUGUCGCUGCCAGCUUCCCCUCAAACAGCCAGGGAAGAGAGGGAAGGAGAGAUGGGAAGAGCUGAACCAUGCACAGAACAUUCCCUGAAUCCUCCCUGCAGGUGCUGCUGGUUGAUUUUUAUGUUCCCUGGGUUCCCUGUGGAUGGGCUGCUCCAGCCUCAGCCAUGAUCCCAGGUAAGGAGAUCUCCUGAGGAGCUGUGGCUGUCCCAGAAAUGGGAAAAUGUUCAACCCAGGAAGAGGAGGACAGUGCUGACAGCUUUUCUGGAUUUAUGGCACAGCAGCAGGUCCUUCUUGGUCCUGAAAGGAGACAGAUCUCAAUUGUUUAGGGUCAAAAUCUCAAUUGUUUAAGAUCAGCAAAUCCAAGCAUUAAAGGGAUGUAGGUGUGGAAUGUUCCUGGGUGGGGUUUAAUGGUGAGGGUAUGGAAUUCCCACAGGGAUCAGCCAGGUUGUGCCAUGGGAUGGGGUUGGAUCUCUGCCCACUGCGUGCCCUGGUAGAUCUUCUCCCAAAAAACCAAAGGUGAUCGACAGGAUGCUGGACCUGGAUCAGCUGAGCCAGAGCAGUUCUUCCCUAAAAUCCUCUCUGGUUUCUCUUCUGCUUGUGUGGAGGUGGAAACUCUCCUGGGGGUCCUUUUCCUCUAGAGGUCACUCUCCAAGGUUAUUCCCCUGCUCCUGGAGACACUCCUAUGUUCUCUGGCCAUCUCCUUACCCCCAAGGCUGGCCUUCUUGGCCCCCAAAUUUCUGCUCCAAAAGAAGCUCCAAACCUCUCCUAGACUUCAUUUUUUGAGGCCAGAGGCUCCUUUUCCAUAUAUCCACACAUAGUUUCUCCCUCUAUGCCAUCCAGUUCUGCCCUCCAGACUCCCAGACUUCCCUUGUGCUUUUCCCAAGGGAGUGUUGGACUCUCCAGGAGGUGGAGCAGCCCCGGAUGAAAUGUCCAUCUUCUGGUGGCACUUCCAGCUCCCUGAAGGGGCCUGGGAGCAGGGAGGGACCUCCCAAAGGCCCAACAGUUCCAAGCUCAUGGAAUGUCCUCCUCCCUGCCACCAAUCCAUACAAACCUGGCCAUAUUUCAACCUCCUGUGCCCACCUCAACUCUAUGGCUUUAUUUUCACCACAGGCUCUUUGUUCCUGGAUGCUCUGGAAAGGGAAUUAGUGCCUAAUCCUUCUAUAUGUGACUCCAUGCUUUGCAUAUCAUCCUUGUGUCCCUUGUCCCCAACAUCUUCUCUUUUGUGACGAGCUGAGCUCGUGUCUGAACUCUCUUCCCUGAUCCUAGAAGGUUUUUUCCUCCCAUCCUGGGAGAUUACAACUAAUUCAGUGCCCAGCCAUGCAUGCCAAAAUUUAAAUAAUAAAUCAUCUCUCCCUGCCAGCAAACACCCCUGGACACGAAGGCAAAGCCCCACUCCUUCCCUGGAAAAUGGGGCUCAGCCUCAGCCUGAAAAUUCGGGGAAUUGUGGAUUGGGGGUGCUGCCCACCUGCCUGCACAUCCCCCCUCCCUGCCCCGCCUGCCUUGGCUCUGCUCUGAAGGAAAUGAUUGCAUUGGGAUCCUCCAAAUGCCAGGGAAGGGAGCAGGGGAGCCCAGAGGAGCCAGUGUGGGGCGGGGAUGGAAGGGAAGACACGGCAGAAAAUGAGAGCAGGGAACAGAACCUGGGGU
This is a long non-coding RNA of Zonotrichia leucophrys gambelii, 2203 nucleotides long. RefSeq lists it as uncharacterized. The record is from RefSeq and is a predicted model, not a curated record. NCBI's taxonomy places the organism in Eukaryota, Metazoa, Chordata, Aves, Passeriformes, Passerellidae. The transcript is spliced from 3 exons.